RNAcentral lists this ribosomal RNA (425 nucleotides) under uncultured bacterium. Its description in RNAcentral is "bacterial SSU rRNA". It matches the Rfam family "Bacterial small subunit ribosomal RNA", at positions 355 to 796 of the family's 1533-position model. The record is from RNAcentral.
UAGGGAAUUUUCCGCAAUGGACGAAAGUCUGACGGAGCAACGCCGCGUGCAGGAGGAAGGCCUUCGGGUUGUAAACUGCUUUUGUCUGUGACGAUUUUGACGGUAACAGACGAAUAAGGACCUGCUAACUACGUGCCAGCAGCCGCGGUCAUACGUAGGGUCCAAGCGUUAUCCGGAAUUACUGGGCGUAAAGAGUUGCGUAGGUGGCAUAGUAAGCAAAUAGUGAAAGCGUAGGGCUCAACCCUAUACCCAUUAUUUGAACUGCUAAGCUUGAGCAUGAGAGAGGUAGAUGGAAUUUCUAGUGUAGGAGUGAAAUCCGUAGAUAUUAGAAGGAACACCGAUGGCGUAAGCAGUCUACUGGCUCAUUGCUGACACUAAGGCACGAAAGCGUGGGGAGCGAACGGGAUUAGAUACCCGGGUAGUCC